UCCGGUUUGUCACCGGCAGUCUCAUUAGAGUGCCCAACUGAAUGUAGCAACUAAUGACAAGGGUUGCGCUCGUUGCGGGACUUAACCCGACAUCUCACGACACGAGCUGACGACAGCCAUGCAGCACCUGUGUUCCGAUUCCCUUUCGGGCACACCUGGAUUUCUCCAGGCUCUCGGACAUGUCAAGGGUAGGUAAGGUUUUUCGCGUUGCAUCGAAUUAAUCCACAUAAUCCCCCGACAACCAGUUGACAUAGUUUAGGGCGUGGACUAC
RNAcentral lists this unclassified non-coding RNA (271 nucleotides) under uncultured Gammaproteobacteria bacterium. RNAcentral describes it as "contains 16S-23S intergenic spacer region". The record is from RNAcentral. Lineage: Bacteria; Pseudomonadati; Pseudomonadota; Gammaproteobacteria.